GGUGGUGGGUGGGGAGCAGCCUCUGUGGGGCUGGAUGUGCCAGCACAUCCCCUUGGCUGCCUGCACUGUCCUGUGAGCAGCCCAGAGCAGUGGUGCUGGGCCCUGUCCCUGCCACCAUGCUCAGCCCCAAAGGAGGGACAAUUCAGGUGGCACAUGUUGGGGUCAUAUGCCAGGGAGGCUGCCUGGUGCCACAGCCCCAGCCUCUCAGCCCAGCUCUCCUUCUGCUCCCCUGCAGCUGCACCCAGGACAGCAACACCCCCCCCACAAGCAGAUCCCCCACGGGGCCGUCCGACCACCAGCAAUGAGAGACUCUCGGUGCCUGUCAUCAUCUGCAUCAUCCUGGGGGCACUCCUCUGCUUGCUCCUGGCCCUCCUGGCUGGGCAGGUGCGAAGUGCCAGGGCUCGGCGCAGAGGUGGGUCCUUCCCCAGUGGUCCUGGGGGGGAGAUGCCUCCUGGCACGGCUGGGGGUGUUGGUGUCCUGGGGCACAGUAAGAGAGCUGUGUGCUGCCUCCUGCCCCAUGUGCUGCCCCGCUGACUGACAGACCAUGGGGCACCAACAUCGAGGGGUGGAGAGAGCCCAGAGCCUGAGGCAUCAGUUCUGGGGUGAGAAGAGAAAUGUGAGAUCUGGGCUGGGUGAGAAGGGGAGGAUGCACUGCUGGCAGUGCUCUGGGCAGCACUGGCAGGGGGAGCAUGGGGCAGUGGAGUCCAUCACCGUUGUAUCAGCCACCCCCCAGCAGAGCACGGGUUGUGCUAUUGAUGUGUGGGGCAGAGAUGGAGCAGCUCCAUGGGGAAGGGAAAUGAGGGAAUUGGUGCAGGGUCUGCACUGGGACAUGACCCAGGGACGAAAGGGGCACAAGGGCUGUCUCCAAAUGCGAGGCUGACUCUGUCCCAGACCAUCUCUAUGGGGAUGCUGCCCUCCCUGGGGAUGUGGUUGCAGUGCCAACACAACACAGUGAGGCUGUGCUGUGGGGACAGCCCUGUGCUGGCCUAGGGAAUAGGGUGAGGGAGCCCAGUGGGGUCCUCUCUGCCCAUCCCCAGAUCAGCCUUGCCUCUGUCCUCAGGUUCUGGGAGAGCUAGGGAGCCCUUCCCUGAGGCCGUGUACGAGGAGAUCGCUUACAGCCUGGCGUGGGAGAAGCAGGCGAGGUUCAGUCUCUCAGGUGGGUGCAGGUAACCUGCGGGG
RNAcentral lists this long non-coding RNA (1179 nucleotides) under Anas platyrhynchos platyrhynchos (common mallard). RNAcentral's name for it is "lncRNA (ENSAPLG00000030023.1)". Lineage: Eukaryota; Metazoa; Chordata; Aves; Anseriformes; Anatidae. The record is from RNAcentral.